This 393-nucleotide ribosomal RNA is filed under the name uncultured bacterium. RNAcentral describes it as "partial 16S ribosomal RNA". It matches the Rfam family "Bacterial small subunit ribosomal RNA", at positions 523 to 918 of the family's 1533-position model. The record is from RNAcentral.
AUACGGAGGAUGCAAGCGUUAUCCGGAUUUAUUGGGUUUAAAGGGUGCGUAGGCGGUUUGCUAAGCGGGAGGUGAAAUGCCGGCGCUCAACGUCGGAAGUGCCUCCCGAACUGGUGGACUGGAAUGACUCUGCCGUGGGAGGAAUGUGUAGUGUAGCGGUGAAAUGCUUAGAGAUUACACAGAACACCGAUUGCGAAGGCAGCUCACGAAGGGUUGAUUGACGCUGAGGCACGAAAGCGUGGGGAUCAAACAGGAUUAGAUACCCUGGUAGUCCACGCAGUAAACGAUGAUGGCUAACCGCUGGUUUAUUCGGAUCAGUGGCCAAGCGAAAGCGAUAAGCCAUCCACCUGGGGAGUACGACCGCAAGGUUGAAACUCAAAUGAAUUGACGGGG